This 27-nucleotide non-coding RNA is filed under the name Mus musculus (house mouse). Lineage: Eukaryota; Metazoa; Chordata; Mammalia; Rodentia; Muridae. The record is from RNAcentral.
UNGCAGGUGAAUCCCAGUGCCCCAGCC